GUGAGUAACCUGCCCCUGGCUUUGGGAUAACCAUCGGAAACGGUGGCUAAUACCGAAUAUUCACUUUCUGCCGCAUGGUGGUUUGUGGAAAGUUUUUCGGCUGGGGAUGGGCUCGCGGCCUAUCAGCUUGUUGGUGGGGUGAUGGCCUACCAAGGCUUUGACGGGUAGCCGGCCUGAGAGGGCGACCGGCCACACUGGGACUGAGACACGGCCCAGACUCCUACGGGAGGCAGCAGUGGGGAAUAUUGCACAAUGGGCGGAAGCCUGAUGCAGCGACGCCGCGUGAGGGAUGACGGCCUUCGGGUUGUAAACCUCUUUCAGCAGGGACGAAGCGAAAGUGACGGUACCUGCAGAAGAAGCGCCGGCCAACUACGUGCCAGCAGCCGCGGUAAGACGUAGGGCGCGAGCGUUGUCCGGAUUUAUUGGGCGUAAAGAGCUCGUAGGCGGCUUGUUGCGUCGUCCGUGAAAACCUGGGGCUCAACUCCAGGCUUGCGGUCGAUACGGGCAGGCUAGAGUUCGGUAGGGGAGACUGGAAUUCCUGGUGUAGCGGUGAAAUGCGCAGAUAUCAGGAGGAACACCGGUGGCGAAGGCGGGUCUCUGGGCCGAUACUGACGCUGAGGAGCGAAAGCGUGGGGAGCGAACAGGAUUAGAUACCCUGGUAGUCCACGCUGUAAACGUUGGGCGCUAGGUGU
This 692-nucleotide ribosomal RNA is filed under the name Catellatospora sp. K21(2011). RNAcentral describes it as "bacterial SSU rRNA". It matches the Rfam family "Bacterial small subunit ribosomal RNA", at positions 117 to 823 of the family's 1533-position model. The record is from RNAcentral. Lineage: Bacteria; Bacillati; Actinomycetota; Actinomycetes; Micromonosporales; Micromonosporaceae.